Molecule: ribosomal RNA, 423 nt
Filed under: Bacillus sp. (in: firmicutes)
Lineage: Bacteria; Bacillati; Bacillota; Bacilli; Caryophanales; Bacillaceae
Description: bacterial SSU rRNA
Rfam family: Bacterial small subunit ribosomal RNA
Source: RNAcentral
UGGAGCAUGUGGUUUAAUUCGAAGCAACGCGAAGAACCUUACCAGGUCUUGACAUCCUCUGACAAUCCUAGAGAUAGGACGUCCCCUUCGGGGGCAGAGUGACAGGUGGUGCAUGGUUGUCGUCAGCUCGUGUCGUGAGAUGUUGGGUUAAGUCCCGCAACGAGCGCAACCCUUGAUCUUAGUUGCCAGCAUUCAGUUGGGCACUCUAAGGUGACUGCCGGUGACAAACCGGAGGAAGGUGGGGAUGACGUCAAAUCAUCAUGCCCCUUAUGACCUGGGCUACACACGUGCUACAAUGGACAGAACAAAGGGCAGCGAAACCGCGAGGUUAAGCCAAUCCCACAAAUCUGUUCUCAGUUCGGAUCGCAGUCUGCAACUCGACUGCGUGAAGCUGGAAUCGCUAGUAAUCGCGGAUCAGCAUGC